UACCCCCUGGCAAUGGGCAGAGACAUCUCCCUGGUGGCGGUGUUCUUACAUCAGCUGGGGGCAGAGCAGUGGAGCCCUUUGUUCAUCCUAGCUGAUGCCUGACUCGGUGGCCAAAGCUGUUUCAUGCCUAGGGCACAUUA
Molecule: small nucleolar RNA, 140 nt
Organism: Myodes glareolus (Bank vole)
Lineage: Eukaryota; Metazoa; Chordata; Mammalia; Rodentia; Cricetidae
Product: small nucleolar RNA SNORA48
Source: RefSeq, a predicted model, not a curated record